GUUUAUUUAAACAGUCUAUUUAAUCAGUCUAUGUGUUAGGUUUGUUCAGGCAGCUUAAUUGCUGGAUUUAUUUAGGCAGGGUUCUUGCUGGAUUUAGCUAGGCAGUCUAUGGCUGUGUUUAGCUAGGCAGUCUAUUGCUGGAUUUAUCUAGGCAGUCUAUUGCUGUGUUUAUCUAGGCAGUCUAUUGCUGUGUUUAUCUAGGCAGUCUAUUGCUGUGUUUAGCUAGGCAGUCUAUUGCUGUGUUAUUUCCUAUACCACUUCAUGCUAUGUAGCUGCUGUAUCACUUGUUAACAUCUGUUGCUGUAUUGAGGCCAUUUAUCUGACAGAUUCUGUAUACUGCUCAUUGAUUUAUUGUUAUUCUG
This is a non-coding RNA of Pelobates cultripes (western spadefoot toad), 362 nucleotides long. Lineage: Eukaryota; Metazoa; Chordata; Amphibia; Anura; Pelobatidae. The record is from the annotation of a GenBank genome assembly.